This 439-nucleotide ribosomal RNA is filed under the name uncultured bacterium. RNAcentral describes it as "partial 16S ribosomal RNA". It matches the Rfam family "Bacterial small subunit ribosomal RNA", at positions 339 to 795 of the family's 1533-position model. The record is from RNAcentral.
CUACGGGAUGCUGCAGUGAGGAAUAUUGCACAAUGGGGGGAACCCUGAUGCAGCAACGCCGCGUGGAGGAUGACGCAUUUCGGUGUGUAAACUCCUUUUAUAUGUCAAGAAAAUGACGGUAGCAUAUGAAUAAGCACCGGCUAACUCCGUGCCAGCAGCUGCGGUAAUACGGAGGGUGCAAGCGUUACUCGGAAUCACUGGGCGUAAAGGACGCGUAGGCGGGUUGGAAAGUCAGGUGUGAAAUCCUACAGCUUAACUGUAGAACUGCACUUGAAACUUCUAAUCUAGAGUAUGGGAGGGGGAGAUGGAAUUAGUGGUGUAGGGGUAAUAUCCGUAGAUAUCACUAGGAAUACCUAAAGCGAAGGCGAUCUCCUGGAACAUUACUGACGCUAAGGCGUGAAAGCGUGGGGAGCAAACAGGAUUAGAUACCCCAGUAGUC